GGCAAAACUAAGAUGUUGCGGAGGGAAGUAGCGAGCAAGGACUUAAUAGCGCUAUAUCUGGUGGGAUGAUGGAAACAAAUCUAUAUAGCUGGGCCCCACCUAGUUUGGGAAUAAGGCUUAGUUGAAUAUUGUGAAUUCUGGAAAAUUUAACUAAUAUUUGAAGAAUAGGAUCAAAUAAUGAAUUAAUGAAAAUGCUAAACACCCUGAAUUUUAAUCCCAACUUAUUGGGUAAGUACAUUAGUUUUUUAUUUGCUUCUAUGUAAAGGAUGUCCCAUUAUGAAUCCCUGACAUUUAUAUCUUUUCUCUGGGCUCCUAAUUAUGUUUGGAAUAUAACUAUUUAAUGAAAAUGGGAAGUUAUUGUUUGGUUUGUUUUAUUAUAUUCUCACUCCCCUUCCGGCCCCCGG
Molecule: unclassified non-coding RNA, 404 nt
Filed under: Hevea brasiliensis (rubber tree)
Lineage: Eukaryota; Viridiplantae; Streptophyta; Magnoliopsida; Malpighiales; Euphorbiaceae
Source: RNAcentral